AACGAACGCUGGCGGCAGGCUUAACACAUGCAAGUCGAACGGGCACCUUCGGGUGUCAGUGGCAGACGGGUGAGUAACGCGUGGGAACGUACCCUUCGGUUCGGAAUAACCCAGGGAAACUUGGGCUAACACCGGAUACGUCCGCAAGGAGAAAGAUUUAUCGCCGAAGGGUCGGCCCGCGUCGGAUUAGCUAGUUGGUGGGGUAAUGGCCCACCAAGGCGACGAUCCGUAGCUGGUCUGAGAGGAUGANCAGCCACACUGGGACUGAGACACGGCCCAGACUCCUACGGAGGCAGCAGUGGGGAAUAUUGGACAAUGGGCGAAAGCCUGAUCCAGCCAUGCCGCGUGAGUGAAGAAGGCCUUAGGGUUGUAAAGCUCUUUCAGCGGGAANAUAAUGACGGUACCCGCAGAAGAAGUCCCGGCUAACUUCGUGCCAGCAG
Molecule: ribosomal RNA, 440 nt
Filed under: uncultured bacterium
Lineage: Bacteria
Description: bacterial SSU rRNA
Rfam family: Bacterial small subunit ribosomal RNA
Source: RNAcentral